UUGAAUUGUUUAAUGUUUUCAUUGAAAGGAAAUUCAAUGUUUUGCUUGGGGUUUUUGUGAUACAACGGUUUGAAAGUUUAGAAAUUUUUUUUCUGUCCGAGAAAGUACGUAACUAGCACUCGAUAUUUAAAGAGAGUUUUUUUAAGCUUGAUAGGGAGCUUUCGAUGUGAAAACUUUCAUUUAUGCCAAAAAAUCGAAAGCUUUUAAGUUUGAUAAGGAGCUUUCGAUGUGAAAACCCUCGUUUAUGGAAAUCUGUUAUGAGGACUUGAAAGGAAAGUAUUAAAACAACGAGCAAAUAUUCCGUUUAAAUAGUUCUCUCAGUUUCAGGCACCUAUAACAAGCAAUUAAGGUUUUACCCCUCCAAAUACAAUUGAAACUAAUUUGAAUGCAAACCACGUUGCGAGAGUUCUCUUGCUCAAACCAUCAAUCGAACGCAGUAAAAAUUUCACUUUGGCGUGAGAGAAUACUUGAAUCCUAACUUUGUGAAUUAAUUAGUCAAAGCUUUGUUGAACUUGAAACAGUGACAAAAUUUGACAAAAAGCAAUAAGCUUAACUUCUCAGUGGUCCUUCUCAAACCACUAAAGUUAUAUCUGAGAUGAAAUGGGAAAAAGCAACAUUAUUACCAUUUUAUCUCGAAUUUUGUGGAAUCAUCUUUCUUAAGGAGGCAAAUUGUAGAAACAAAAGAGCCAAUUGAAUUGAAAACGAAUAGUAAAAAAAGAAUCACUUCGAUACCUGUCAUUAUAUAAUCUAAGAUCCAGUAAAGGUUUCUUCGCUAUUAACUCGACGUUAUUAGGUGAUCUUAUAUACAAGAUAUUAGGCAAUUUCUAUUUCAAAUGGAAAUACCACAGCCAAAUGAGUUCCACACGCAAGAAACAAAAUCCAAAAUACGAAGUUGCCACAAUAAAGGAACUAAUAGUUCGGCAGCUUGGGUCCCUAACAUGAAGACUUUGCAAAAAAAAAAGUUUUGAAUAUUUUAUGCAGAAUAUCUUUAUAAGCAAUCAAUUUUACUAUAUAUAAUACAAGUAUAUUUCAAUAUCGUAGCAAA
Molecule: non-coding RNA, 1045 nt
Organism: Bactrocera oleae (olive fruit fly)
Lineage: Eukaryota; Metazoa; Arthropoda; Insecta; Diptera; Tephritidae
Source: RefSeq, a predicted model, not a curated record